This 382-nucleotide ribosomal RNA is filed under the name Xynobius caelatus. Its description in RNAcentral is "partial 16S ribosomal RNA". The record is from RNAcentral. Lineage: Eukaryota; Metazoa; Arthropoda; Insecta; Hymenoptera; Braconidae.
AUCUUUUUUAAUAAUAAGAUCUUUUAAAAAAAAUUAUGCUGUUAUCCCUAAGGUAAUUAAUUUUAAUAAUUCAAAAAUUUAAGAUUUUUUAUUCAAUAAUUUUUGUUAAAAUUAAAAAAAAUUUUUUAAAUUUUUUAAUUACCCCAAUUAAAUUUAUUAAAAAAAUUUAUUAAAAAAAAUUUAAUUUAUAAUUUUAUUAAUAAAUAAAAUUCUAUAGGGUCUUGUCGUCUUUUAAAAUUAUUUAAGUUUUUUUACUUAAAUAAAAAUUUUAAUUAUAUUUAAAUUGAGACAGUUUAUAUUUCAUUUAAUCCUUCAUUCUAGUUUUUAAUUAAAAAACAAAUUAUUAUGCUACCUUUGUACAGUUAUUAAUUCUGCGCCAUUA